Molecule: ribosomal RNA, 326 nt
Filed under: uncultured bacterium
Lineage: Bacteria
Description: bacterial SSU rRNA
Rfam family: Bacterial small subunit ribosomal RNA
Source: RNAcentral
ACUCCUACGGGAGGCAGCAGUAGGGAAUUUUCCGCAAUGGACGAAAGUCUGACGGAGCAAUGCCGCGUGAGUGAUGAAGGUUUUCGAAUCGUAAAGCUCUGUUGUAAGGGAAGAAUAGCAAGAAUAGGAAAAUGAUUCUUGUCUUGACGGUACCUUACCAGAAAGCCACGGCUAACUACGUGCCAGCAGCCGCGGUAAUACGUAGGUGGCAAGCGUUAUCCGGAAUUAUUGGGCGUAAAGCGCAUGUAGGCGGCUUUUUAAGUCUGAUGUGAAAGCCAGUGGCUCACCACUGAAUUGCAUUGGUACUGGAAAGCUAGAAUCUUGGA